ACAAGCGGUGGAGCAUGUGGUUAAUUCGAUGAUACGCGAGGAACCUUACCUGGGCUCAAAUGUAUGUUGACGUAUUCUGAAAGGGAUACUUCUUCGGACAAUAUACAAGGUGCUGCAUGGUUGUCGUCAGCUCGUGCCGUGAGGUGUCGGGUUAAGUCCCAUAACGAGCGCAACCCUAUCAUUAGUUGCCAUCAGGUCAAGCUGGGGACUCUAAUGAAACUGCCUACGCAAGUAGUGAGGAAGGUGGGGAUGACGUCAAAUCAGCACGGCCCUUACGUCCAGGGCUACACACGUGCUACAAUGGCCGGUACAGAGGGCAGCUACCUGGUGACAGGAUGCAAAUCUCCAAAGUCGGUCUCAGUUCGGAUCGGAGUCUGCAACCCGACUCCGUGAAGUUGGAUUCGCUAGUAAUCGCGCAUCAGCCAUGGCGCGGUGAAUACGUUCCCGGGCCUU
This 453-nucleotide ribosomal RNA is filed under the name uncultured Sphingobacteriales bacterium. Its description in RNAcentral is "bacterial SSU rRNA". It matches the Rfam family "Bacterial small subunit ribosomal RNA", at positions 925 to 1382 of the family's 1533-position model. Lineage: Bacteria; Pseudomonadati; Bacteroidota; Sphingobacteriia; Sphingobacteriales. The record is from RNAcentral.